Non-coding RNA from Zea mays, 136 nucleotides. Lineage: Eukaryota; Viridiplantae; Streptophyta; Magnoliopsida; Poales; Poaceae. The record is from Rfam.
CCUCUUAGAGAUGAUGAGAUUCUCUCCUAUCUCUUUGCGGGGCUGUCGGUUGAUUAUGACCCCUUCGUUACGUCGAUGACCACCAAGAAUGAAGAGCUCUCCUUCGACGUCUUCUCGCAUCUCCUGGUUUUUGAAG